UGAGCUGACCGGUACUAAUCGCCCGACAGGCUUG
RNAcentral lists this ribosomal RNA (34 nucleotides) under Propionibacterium freudenreichii subsp. freudenreichii. Its description in RNAcentral is "partial 23S ribosomal RNA". Lineage: Bacteria; Bacillati; Actinomycetota; Actinomycetes; Propionibacteriales; Propionibacteriaceae. The record is from RNAcentral.